UUGUUUGAAGUUAUUUAGAUCAAACAAUUGAGGUACUAAUUGGUGUAUUGAAAAUGAAAUAAGGGAGAAAAUAUGGACAAUUUAGGCUUUUAAAUUUUCUGUUUAGUGUCUGUUUGGGAUUGAAUUGUAUUACAUUACUUGAACCUGAAAAUUGGUGUGCUGUUUGCUACUUGAAAAAUAUAAUAAACGAACAAUAGAGACUAU
RNAcentral lists this long non-coding RNA (204 nucleotides) under Carica papaya (papaya). Its description in RNAcentral is "long non-coding RNA (CPAP_LNC004675)". Lineage: Eukaryota; Viridiplantae; Streptophyta; Magnoliopsida; Brassicales; Caricaceae. The record is from RNAcentral.